UAGCUUGCUACCUGACCUAGCGGCGGACGGGUAAGUAAUGCUUAGGAAUCUGCCUAUUAGUGGGGGACAACAUUCCGAAAGGAAUGCUAAUACCGCAUACGCCCUACGGGGGAAAGCAGGGGAUCUUCGGACCUUGCGCUAAUAGAUGAGCCUAAGUCAGAUUAGCUAGUUGGUGGGGUAAAGGCCUACCAAGGCGACGAUCUGUAGCGGGUCUGAGAGGAUGAUCCGCCACACUGGGACUGAGACACGGCCCAGACUCCUACGGGAGGCAGCAGUGGGGAAUAUUGGACAAUGGGCGAAAGCCUGAUCCAGCCAUGCCGCGUGUGUGAAGAAGGCCUUUUGGUUGUAAAGCACUUUAAGCGAGGAGGAGGCUACUGAGAUUAAUACUCUUGGAUAGUGGACGUUACUCGCAGAAUAAGCACCGGCUAACUCUGUGCCAGCAGCCGCGGUAAUACAGAGGGUGCGAGCGUUAAUCGGAUUUACUGGGCGUAAAGCGUGCGUAGGCGGCUUUUUAAGUCGGAUGUGAAAUCCCUGAGCUUAACUUAGGAAUUGCAUUCGAUACUGGGAAGCUAGAGUAUGGGAGAGGAUGGUAGAAUUCCAGGUGUAGCGGUGAAAUGCGUAGAGAUCUGGAGGAAUACCGAUGGCGAAGGCAGCCAUCUGGCCUAAUACUGACGCUGAGGUACGAAAGCAUGGGGAGCAAACAGGAUUAGAUACCCUGGUAGUCCAUGCCGUAAACGAUGUCUACUAGCCGUUGGGGCCUUUGAGGCUUUAGUGGCGCAGCUAACGCGAUAAGUAGACCGCCUGGGGAGUACGGUCGCAAGACUAAAACUCAAAUGAAUUGACGGGGGCCCGCACAAGCGGUGGAGCAUGUGGUUUAAUUCGAUGCAACGCGAAGAACCUUACCUGGUCUUGACAUAGUAAGAACUUUCCAGAGAUGGAUUGGUGCCUUCGGGAACUUACAUACAGGUGCUGCAUGGCUGUCGUCAGCUCGUGUCGUGAGAUGUUGGGUUAAGUCCCGCAACGAGCGCAACCCUUUUCCUUAUUUGCCAGCGGGUUAAGCCGGGAACUUUAAGGAUACUGCCAGUGACAAACUGGAGGAAGGCGGGGACGACGUCAAGUCAUCAUGGCCCUUACGACCAGGGCUACACACGUGCUACAAUGGUCGGUACAAAGGGUUGCUACCUAGCGAUAGGAUGCUAAUCUCAAAAAGCCGAUCGUAGUCCGGAUUGGAGUCUGCAACUCGACUCCAUGAA
This 1253-nucleotide ribosomal RNA is filed under the name uncultured Acinetobacter sp. RNAcentral's name for it is "bacterial SSU rRNA". It matches the Rfam family "Bacterial small subunit ribosomal RNA", at positions 76 to 1324 of the family's 1533-position model. Lineage: Bacteria; Pseudomonadati; Pseudomonadota; Gammaproteobacteria; Moraxellales; Moraxellaceae. The record is from RNAcentral.